RNAcentral lists this ribosomal RNA (865 nucleotides) under uncultured archaeon. Its description in RNAcentral is "bacterial SSU rRNA". It matches the Rfam family "Archaeal small subunit ribosomal RNA", at positions 39 to 909 of the family's 1478-position model. The record is from RNAcentral.
UUCGAUUAGCCAUGCGAGUAGAAAGAAAUUAGAUUCUUUGCAUACUGCUCCAGUAACACGUGGAUAACCUGCCCUACAUGGGGGAUAAUCUCGGGAAACUGAGCAUAAUACCCCCAUAGACCACUACGCCUGGAACGGUGAGUGGUUGAAAGCUCAGGCGGCGUAGGAUGGGUCUGCGGCGUAUCAGGUCGUAGGGGGUGUAAUGGACCUCCUAGCCAUCGACGCGUACGGGUUGUGGGAGCAAUAGCCCGGAGACGGAUUCUGAGACACGAAUCCGGACCCUACGGGGUGCAGCAGGCGCGAAAACUUCACACUGCAGGAAACUGUGAUGAGGGAACUCCAAGUGACUGCACAAUGUGUAGCCUUUUCUUGAAUCUUAAUAGUUCUUGGAAUAAGGGCUGGGAAAGACCGGUGCCAGCCGCCGCGGUAAUACCGGCAGCUCAAGUGGUCGUCGCUUUUAUUGGGCCUAAAACGUCCGUAGCCUGUUUGGUAAAUCUGUGGGUAAAUCAACGAGCUUAACUCGUUGAAUUCUGCAGAGACUGCCAGACUAGGGACCGGGAGAGGUAUGAGGUACUCUGGGGGUAGGGGUAAAAUCCUGUCAUCCUCAGAGGACCACCUGUUGCGAAGGCGUCAUACUGGAACGGAUCCGACGGUCAGGGACGAAGCCUAGGGGCACGAACCGGAUUAGAUACCCGGGUAGUCCUAGGUGUAAACGCUGUGGAUUUGGUGUGUGGGGUCCGCAAUGGGCCCCAUGUGCCGGAGUGAAGAUGUUAAAUCCACUGCCUGGGGAGUACGGUCGCAAGGCUGAAACUUAAAGGAAUUGGCGGGGGAGCACUGCAACGGGAGGAGCGUGCGGUUUAAUUGG